UGGCUCAGAUUGAACGCUGGCGGCAGGCUUAACACAUGCAAGUCGAGCGGGGAAGGGUACUUCGGUAACUGACCUAGCGGCGGACGGGUGAGUAAUGCUUAGGAAUCUGCCUAUUAGUGGGGGACAACGUUCCGAAAGGAACGCUAAUACCGCAUACGCCCUACGGGGGAAAGCAGGGGAUCUUCGGACCUUGCGCUAAUAGAUGAGCCUAAGUCGGAUUAGCUAGUUGGUGGGGUAAAGGCCUACCAAGGCGACGAUCUGUAGCGGGUCUGAGAGGAUGAUCCGCCACACUGGGACUGAGACACGGCCCAGACUCCUACGGGAGGCAGCAGUGGGGAAUAUUGGACAAUGGGCGGAAGCCUGAUCCAGCCAUGCCGCGUGUGUGAAGAAGGCCUUUUGGUUGUAAAGCACUUUAAGCGAGGAGGAGGCUCCUUUAGUUAAUACCUAAA
Molecule: ribosomal RNA, 449 nt
Filed under: Acinetobacter sp.
Lineage: Bacteria; Pseudomonadati; Pseudomonadota; Gammaproteobacteria; Moraxellales; Moraxellaceae
Description: bacterial SSU rRNA
Rfam family: Bacterial small subunit ribosomal RNA
Source: RNAcentral